Molecule: non-coding RNA, 82 nt
Organism: Mycena rebaudengoi
Lineage: Eukaryota; Fungi; Basidiomycota; Agaricomycetes; Agaricales; Mycenaceae
Source: the annotation of a GenBank genome assembly
GACCCAGUGGUGGAGUGGUAACACACUUGUUAAAACCUUAUUGUGCCAACCCAAAUAUACUGUUCAAUUCAGAGCUGGGGCA